AUUGAACGCUGGCGGCAUGCUUUACACAUGCAAGUCGAACGGCAGCGCGGGCUUCGGCCUGGCGGCGAGUGGCGAACGGGUGAGUAAUGCACCGGAACGUGCCCAGCAGUGGGGGAUAGCCCAGCGAAAGCCGGAUUAAUACCGCAUACGACCUGAGGGUGAAAGCGGGGGACCGAAAGGCCUCGCGCUAUUGGAGCGGCCGAUGUCGGAUUAGCUAGCUGGUUGGGUAAAGGCUUACCAAGGCGACGAUCCGUAGCUGGACUGAGAGGACGACCGGCCACACUGGAACUGAGACACGGCCCAGACUCCUGCGGGAGGCAGCAGUGGGGAAUGUUAGGCAAUGGGGGCAACCCUGAUCCAGCCAUGCCGCGUGCGAGAAGAAGGCCUUCGGGUUGUAAACCGCUUUUGUUCGGGAAGAAAUCCUCUGGGCUAAUACCCCGGGGGGAUGACGGUACCGGAAGAAUAAGCACCGGCUAACUACGUG
RNAcentral lists this ribosomal RNA (484 nucleotides) under uncultured bacterium. Its description in RNAcentral is "partial 16S ribosomal RNA". It matches the Rfam family "Bacterial small subunit ribosomal RNA", at positions 29 to 507 of the family's 1533-position model. The record is from RNAcentral.